Boleophthalmus pectinirostris (great blue-spotted mudskipper) is the source of this 531-nucleotide long non-coding RNA. RefSeq lists it as uncharacterized. The transcript has 3 exons. Lineage: Eukaryota; Metazoa; Chordata; Actinopteri; Gobiiformes; Gobiidae. The record is from RefSeq and is a predicted model, not a curated record.
UUAGAGCAGAAAAGACACCAAGACAUCAAUGUAUUAACUAAAAAGGUGAUAACACCUUACAACACCUUGCGAUAGUAAAGCACUACACAUGUGUUAUACUAACUUUAGUUCUAAAGUUUUUCAGAAGUGAAUAUACUACAUAAUGAGUUCAUUGUUAUAAUUUUAGGGAGGAGCUUACACACAUUUAUAUAGGCCAUCGUGCAAGUCACCUGUUGCAAACCUUCAGCUUCAUACAGAAGAACUGAGUUACUUGAGAUUUUCUACUGAUUCAAGAUGGCCUCUAUAGGGUCAGCUUCACUGGAUCUGAACUAUGACAAGAAGACUGUUAAUGCUGAAGUCAAAGAUGUAUCCAUUAGUAACUUUGCUGUAGGAUGUUUAGCAGCUGUAGCAGUGGCCUAUAGUGCCUCUAAGAUUUUGGAUGUUGGACAACAAUCGAACAAGAAGUAAAGAUCAUCCUCCAAACAGAGGCUGUAUAUCAGAAUGUUUCUGCAAUGUCCUAAUCAAUAAAGUGAUGAAUUAAAUGAUUGUGAC